GCUAGAUGAUCCAGAGAAAGGGACCAUUAUUGAGAAAGUUACGGAGGAAACACUAAAGGACUGGAGUCAUCUGAAGGAGCUCCUUUCCAUUUGUGAAGGUAAAGGUUAUACAAAACCUGCCAUUAUUGGAUGAUGUUGUGUGUGUGAUUAUUUUUAUUGCAUUCUUGCAGGUCAAAGACAGAUUGGGGAGACCUCCCUGAAUGAGAAGAGCUCCAGAUCUCAUCAAAUUCUUAGAUUGACAAUUGAAAGUUCUGCUCGUGAAUUCAUAGGCAAAGAAAAUUCUACAACUCUUUCAGCAACUGUGAAUUUUGUUGAUUUGGCAGGAAGUGAGCGUGCAUCUCAGGCAUUACCCACUGGGGCAAGAUUGAAAGAAGGAUGCCACAUAAACCGAAGUUUGUUGACUCUGGGAACUGUUAUUCGCAAGCUAAGCAAGGGGAGACAUGGGCACAUCAAUUAUAGAGAUUCUAAGCUGACACGGUUACUGCAGCCUGCUUUGGGUGGCAAUGCUAGAACAGCCAUUAUCUGCACACUAAGCCCUGCACGUAGUCAUGUUGAACAAACUAGAAACACUCUUUUGUUUGCUUGUUGUGCGAAAGAAGUUACUACCAAAGCACAGGUCAAUGUAGUCAUGUCAGAUAAGGCACUGGUUAAGCAUUUGCAAAGAGAGUUGGCUAGAUUGGAGAGUGAGUUGAAAAGUCCUGCCCCUGCUUCAUCAACCAGUGAUUAUGCAGCAUUGCUUAGAAAGAAAGAUACUCAAAUACAAAAGAUGGAUAAACAGAUUCGAGAGUUGACAAAGCAACGGGAUCUUGCUGAAUCCCGGGUUGAGGAUUUGCUGCGAAUGAUUGGACAGAAUCAAACUUCAAGAAAUGGGGCUGUGGUUGGUCCUCAUCCUAAUCAGCAAGCAGGGCAUACAUGGGAAGAUGAAUAUGGAGACAGUGGGAGCAACAUGGAGGAGUCCUACUAUCUUCAGGAUAAUAAUGAUGACCAUUCUGUGUCUGAUGGUACUUCUUCACUGAUGUCAAUUGGAAAGAAGUUUGUUAGAUCCAGUUCCUGUCAGAGUCUGGAGGAUACCGCUGUUGGACCUGCAGAAAAUACUGAUGACUACUGCAAGGAAGUUCAAUGUAUUGAAAUGGAUGAGACAAGAAGAGAGAGCAGUUUUGAACCCCAUUCUAUAUCAAAUGGUGAAAAUGAAGGGACAUUAGCUUUGACAAUGUUUGGGGAUGAUGCAGCAGCAGGGCAACAAAUAUCAACUCCAGCAAAUGGACAUAGAGAAGUGAGUCGCAUACAAAAUGGUUUCACAUAUGACAUGUUGGAGCAGAGGCUGCAUCAUGUGCAAAGGACCGUAGAUGAUCUUGUCAGUCCUGACCCUGAUGAAACAUCUCCACAAUCCUUGGCAGCUGAUAUUUCAAGUUCCAGGAACAUGCAGUUAACAAGGAGCUGGAGCUGUAGAGAGAAUCUCAUGACUGACUCUUCUCCCUAUCUUGGGAAGGCAGAACAAAUUGAGAGCACCCCACCAAAUGGUUUUGAGAAAAGCUUUUCUGGGAGGCCGGAAGGUGUCCGAAGGAAGUUUCCUCCACUAAAUUAUGGUGCUGACCCUGCAAGGUUAUCAAGAAAUGAUUCUGAGUCUUCUCUUGGUAGUGCCUAUCCAGAUGAUUUAAGAUCACAGAGCAUCAAAACUUCUGCAGAUGGGGAUAUACCUAGCAUCCAAACUUUUGUUGAAGGACUGCAAGAGAUGGCCAAGCAGGAGUAUGAGAAGCAACUAGUUGAUGGUCAGGUUCGGGAGACAGACCAAAUGGAUCGCAAAUUUGAAAAGAAUGCGAAAGAUGUUGGAUUGGAUCCCAUGGGUGAAGCAUUAGAAACUUCUAGUGAUUGGCCAUUGGCAUUUGAGAGGCAGCGGGGAGAGAUAAUUGAACUUUGGCAAACUUGUAAUGUUUCCUUGGUUCAUAGAGCUUACUUUUUCCUACUCUUUAAAGGCGAUCCAACAGAUUCUGUAUACAUGGAAGUGGAGCUUAGGAGACUUUCGUUCCUUAAGGAAACACUUACUCAAGGGAAUCAUUCUGUGGGAGGUGGUUGGAGUCAGACAUUGACAUUGGCAACAAGCAUCAAAGCCCUUCAUAAGGAGAGAGGAAUGCUAAGCAAGCUGAUGCAAAAGAGGUUAUCAGAAGAAGAGAGAAAGAGAAUCUACCAGAAGUGGGGUAUAGGGUUGAACUCAAAACGUAGGAGGCUACAAUUGGCUAACAGCUUGUGGAGCAACACGAAGGAUAUUAACCACAUUAUGGAGAGUGCUGCCAUAGUUGGAAAGCUGGUAAGGUUUGUAGAACAGGGGCAAGCUCUGAAGGAGAUGUUCGGGCUUAGCUUCGCACCCCCAAGCACAAGGAGGAGGUCCUUGGGCUGGACAUACAGCAAAUCAACUCUUUUAUAGGUUUGUUCUGUGGCAAAUGUAUACCAACUAGAGCGGUGAUUUGUUGAAAUAGGCUAGGCCAUAUAGCAUUCUUUACACGUCAUUGUUUAAGAGUUGUAAAAAUUUUAGCUUGUAUCAUGUUCAAAGUUGAACUCGGUUUUGCCCAUUUUGUUCAUGUAUGUUGCUCCUGGUUUUUUCUGUUCCUA
This 2607-nucleotide unclassified non-coding RNA is filed under the name Hevea brasiliensis (rubber tree). The record is from RNAcentral. Lineage: Eukaryota; Viridiplantae; Streptophyta; Magnoliopsida; Malpighiales; Euphorbiaceae.